CGGCGGACGGGUGAGUAACGCGUGGGUACCCUGCCUCAUACAGGGGGAUAACAGUUAGAAAUGACUGCUAAUACCGCAUAAGACCACGGUACCGCAUGGUACAGUGGUAAAAACUCCGGUGGUAUGAGAUGGACCCGCGUCUGAUUAGGUAGUUGGUGGGGUAACGGCCCACCAAAGCGACGAUCAGUAGCCGACCUGAGAGGGUGACCGGCCACAUUGGGACUGAGACACGGCCCAA
RNAcentral lists this ribosomal RNA (238 nucleotides) under uncultured bacterium. RNAcentral describes it as "partial 16S ribosomal RNA". It matches the Rfam family "Bacterial small subunit ribosomal RNA", at positions 96 to 334 of the family's 1533-position model. The record is from RNAcentral.